Pongo abelii (Sumatran orangutan) is the source of this 148-nucleotide unclassified non-coding RNA. It matches the Rfam family "Metazoan signal recognition particle RNA". From Rfam's summary of the family: The signal recognition particle (SRP) is a universally conserved ribonucleoprotein. It is involved in the co-translational targeting of proteins to membranes. The record is from Ensembl. NCBI's taxonomy places the organism in Eukaryota, Metazoa, Chordata, Mammalia, Primates, Hominidae.
GUUGGGUAUGGUGGUGUGUGCCUGUAGUCCCAGCUACUCAGGAGGCUGAGGCAGGAGGAUCACUUGAGCCUGGGAGGUCGAGAUUGCAGUGAGCUGUGAUCACCCCACUGAACUCUGGCCUGGGCAACAGAGUGAGACCCUGUCUCGA